RNAcentral lists this ribosomal RNA (440 nucleotides) under uncultured Dialister sp. RNAcentral's name for it is "bacterial SSU rRNA". It matches the Rfam family "Bacterial small subunit ribosomal RNA", at positions 349 to 782 of the family's 1533-position model. Lineage: Bacteria; Bacillati; Bacillota; Negativicutes; Veillonellales; Veillonellaceae. The record is from RNAcentral.
CAGCAGUGGGGAAUCUUCCGCAAUGGACGAAAGUCUGACGGAGCAACGCCGCGUGAGUGAAGACGGCCUUCGGGUUGUAAAGCUCUGUGAUUCGGGACGAAAGGCCAUAUGUGAAUAAUAUAUGGAAAUGACGGUACCGAAAAAGCAAGCCACGGCUAACUACGUGCCAGCAGCCGCGGUAAUACGUAGGUGGCAAGCGUUGUCCGGAAUUAUUGGGCGUAAAGCGCGCGCAGGCGGUCUCUUAAGUCCAUCUUAGAAGUGCGGGGCUUAACCCCGUGAGGGGAUGGAAACUGGGAGACUGGAGUAUCGGAGAGGAAAGUGGAAUUCCUAGUGUAGCGGUGAAAUGCGUAGAUAUUAGGAAGAACACCGGUGGCGAAGGCGACUUUCUGGACGAAAACUGACGCUGAGGCGCGAAAGCGUGGGGAGCAAACAGGAUUAGA